AACGCUAGCGGCAAGCCUAACACAUGCAAGUCGAACGGUAACUUUUGGUGCUUGCACCGAAAGACGAGUGGCGAACGGGUGCGUAACGCGUAUGCAAUCUGCCUUUUACUAGGGUAUAGCCCAGAGAAAUUUGGAUUAAUCCCCUAUAAUAUCAUUUAAUCGCAUGAUUUUAUGAUUAAAGCUUCGGCGGUAAAAGAUGAGCAUGCGUCCUAUUAGUUAGUAGGUGAGGUAACGGCUCACCUAGACUCCGAUAGGUAGGGGUCCUGAGAGGGAGAUCCCCCACACUGGUACUGAGACACGGACCAGACUCCUACGGGAGGCAGCAGUGAGGAAUAUUGGACAAUGGACGAAAGUCUGAUCCAGCUAUGCCGCGUGCAGGAUGACGGCCCUAUGGGUUGUAAACUGCUUUUAUACAGGAAGAAAAACUCCGACGUGUCGGAACUUGACGGUACUGUAAGAAUAAGGAUCGGC
RNAcentral lists this ribosomal RNA (471 nucleotides) under uncultured Bacteroidota bacterium. RNAcentral's name for it is "bacterial SSU rRNA". It matches the Rfam family "Bacterial small subunit ribosomal RNA", at positions 32 to 497 of the family's 1533-position model. Lineage: Bacteria; Pseudomonadati; Bacteroidota. The record is from RNAcentral.